GAUGAACGCUGGCGGCGUGCUUAACACAUGCAAGUCGAACGAAGCACAUGAAUGGAUCCCUUCGGGGUGAAGCUCUUGUGACUGAGUGGCGGACGGGUGAGUAACGCGUGGGUAACCUGCCUCAUACAGGGGGAUAACAGUUGGAAACGACUGCUAAUACCGCAUAGUAUCAGCUUUAGGCAUCUUUAGUUGAUUAAAGAAUUUCGGAAACGGAUAGGCUCGCGUGACAUUAGCUAGAUGGCGGGGUAACGGCCCACCAUGGCGACGAUCAGUAGCCGGUCUGAGAGGAUGAACGGCCACAUUGGGACUGAGAUACGGCCCAGACUCCUACGGGAGGCAGCAGUGGGGAAUAUUGGGCAAUGGGGGAAACCCUGACCCAGCAACGCCGCGUGAAGGAAGAAGGCCUUCGGGUUGUAAACGUUCUUUAGUAGGGUACGAAGAACGUGACGGUACC
Molecule: ribosomal RNA, 454 nt
Filed under: uncultured bacterium
Lineage: Bacteria
Description: bacterial SSU rRNA
Rfam family: Bacterial small subunit ribosomal RNA
Source: RNAcentral